RNAcentral lists this long non-coding RNA (1791 nucleotides) under Piliocolobus tephrosceles (Ugandan red Colobus). Its description in RNAcentral is "lncRNA (ENSPTEG00000022214.1)". The record is from RNAcentral. Lineage: Eukaryota; Metazoa; Chordata; Mammalia; Primates; Cercopithecidae.
AUGGCCAUAAUUCGGUGCUUCGAAAUGUGCUCAAAUAGGAUGUUAAAAAACAUUAAUUUGAGUAGAGUAGUAGUGAAAAAUUGGUAUAGCAGUAAAACAGCUACGGAUAUAGAAAAAGGGAUGAUAAAAAAGUUAAUUCAUAUGAAUGGUAAUAAUAUAAGUUAUGGAAUAAAAAAAAGUGUAAAAAAUGGAUUUAUUAAUAAAAAUAUGUUUAAUGUUUAUAAUGAAUUAGUCAUAAAAUUUUCUAAAAAUUUUAAUUUUCAUGAUGUAGUUAUAAUAUUGCAAGCAUAUGCUUUAUGUAAGGAAAGAAAUUUUCGAAUAUAUUCUUUAUUGUCAAACAGAACUUUAUAUAUUUUUAAAAAUAAAAUAAUAGAAGAUGAUAUAAAUUGCUAUCAUAAUAUUUAUAAAUAUAUUUUGGCUAGUAAUCAAUUAAAUUAUACAGAUUUCGAAUUAAUGAUCAUUUUUUUAAAAAAAAUUAAAACAAAUUUAAAUUUUUAUAACAUAAAACAAAUAAGUAUUUUAUUACAUUCGUUAGCAAAACUUAAAAUAAAUGAUGAAGAAUUGUUACAAAUUUGUAACAAAUAUAUUUUAGAAAAUUUUGACCUUAUAAAAUGGAAUUAUAUUAAUCAUAUAUUAUCAGCUUAUUCAAAAAAAACAAAUAGUAACUAUAGUGAUCUUUGCUUUAAUUUAAUUAAAUAUAUUUAUGAGAAUAUAAAAAAAAUUGACUCUAUUACUAUAUAUAAUGUGUUAAUACAAAUGAAAAAUGUUUUAGAAAAUAUAAGAAAAGAUAUAAAAUAUAGUACCUAUUUUUUAAAUGAUCAGAUGGAAAACACAGAAGAUAGUAAUGGACAUACAGAGUUUAGUAAUAAACCAGUAAAAGAUAUGGUUGACAAAGUUUUUGAUGAAAAUGAUAAGAUUUUAACUAAACAAAACUAUUCAACCGAAUCAAAAAAAAAUAUUAAUGAAUACUGCUAUUUAGAUGAUAACUCUGUAAAAACAAUUUCGAAUAAUAACUCUCCAAAUUAUACAAAACAUGUUUUAAAAAAUAUCAUCCCUUUAUUAUUUACAAAAGUAAAUAUAUGUAUCCCAUUUUUAUCAGUUAAACAAUUAAUAAAGUUGAUAAAAACGUAUAAAGAAUUAAAUUAUUUUAAUUAUAUAUUUAUAUAUAAAAAAAUAUUACAUUACUUGUUAAGUAAGUUACAAAAUAAUAAAAUAAGUUUAGAAGAAAACAUAGAAAUAUUAGAGUUUUUUACAAUCUUACCUUUUGUUAAUGAUACAAUGGAAACUAUUAUAAAUAUAAUUACAGAACAAAUUGAAAAUAAUCUUGUAUAUAAUUAUAAUUAUUUAUGUCGUUUAUUAUAUUGUUGUGAUUGUUUAUGUAUUCACAGUGAUAAUAUAUUGUCAAAAAUAGAUUGUUUAAUUUUUAAAGAAAAAAAAAAAUUUGAAAAAGAUGCUAAUUUAAAAGGAUUACAGUUGUUUCUAAAAAUGUAUAAUAAAGAGAAUGGUAUGGAAUGGGGUGAUAUUAUAAAACUUUUAAAUUUGUUAAUAAAAGAAAAAAAGUCAUCUACAACUAUUGAAAAAAAUAUUGAAAAAAAUAUUGACAAUAGUACAAUCAAUCAUAAUAAUAAUACUAUAGUCAACAACAGUACCGACAACGACAAAAGCACGUGUGAUGAACAUAUACAAAAACAGCAACACAACAAAGUAAUCAUAUAUAAAUAUAAUAAAAUUGAAAAAAAAAUUAAUGAAAAUGAGAUAAAUUUAUUAAACAAUACUACCGAUUUAAUGUAA